This 406-nucleotide ribosomal RNA is filed under the name uncultured bacterium. RNAcentral describes it as "partial 16S ribosomal RNA". It matches the Rfam family "Bacterial small subunit ribosomal RNA", at positions 30 to 526 of the family's 1533-position model. The record is from RNAcentral.
AUUGAACGCUGGCGGCAGGCCUAACACAUGCAAGUCGAACGAGUGGCGGACGGGUGAGUAAUGUCUGGGAAACUACCCGAUGGAGGGGGAUAACUACUGGAAACGGUAGCUAAUACCGCAUACCAUCGGAUGUGCCCAGAUGGGAUUAGCUAGUAGGUGGGGUAAAGGCUCACCUAGGCGACGAUCCCUAGCUGGUCUGAGAGGAUGACCAGCAACACUGGAACUGAGACACGGUCCAGACUCCGACGGUAGGCAGCAGUGGGGAAUAUUGCACAAUGGGCGCAAGCCUGAGGCAGCCAUGCCGCGUGUAUGAAGAAGGCCUUCGGUGUGUAAAGUACUUUAAGCGGGGAGGCGUUACCCGCAGAAGCAGCACCGGCUAACGCCGUGCCAGCAGCCGCGGUAAUUC